Molecule: microRNA precursor, 76 nt
Filed under: Pan troglodytes (chimpanzee)
Lineage: Eukaryota; Metazoa; Chordata; Mammalia; Primates; Hominidae
Description: miRNA (ENSPTRG00000052462.1)
Source: RNAcentral
GCAGUGUUCUGGAAUUCAGUGUGAGGGACAAACUUUCAGAUGCUCGUAGCAGUGUUCUGGAAUUCUGUGUGAGGGA